This 514-nucleotide ribosomal RNA is filed under the name uncultured bacterium. RNAcentral describes it as "bacterial SSU rRNA". It matches the Rfam family "Bacterial small subunit ribosomal RNA", at positions 791 to 1314 of the family's 1533-position model. The record is from RNAcentral.
UAGUCCACGCCGUAAACGAUGAGUGCUAGCUGUUGGAACCUUAGGUUUCAGUGGCGACGCUAACGCAUUAAGCACUCCGCCUGGGGAGUACGGUCGCAAGAUUAAAACUCAAAGGAAUUGACGGGGACCCGCACAAGCGGUGGAGCAUGUGGUUUAAUUCGAGGCAACGCGAAGAACCUUACCAGACCUUGACAUGCCUCUUUUGGAUUUCAGAGAUGAUUUCCUUCGGUUCGGCCGGGGAGUGCACAGGUGCUGCAUGGCUGUCGUCAGCUCGUGUCGUGAGAUGUUGGGUUAAGUCCCGCAACGAGCGCAACCCUUAUUUUGGUUGCCUUUUGGAACUCUAAAAAGACUGCCGGUUAUAAACCGGAGGAAGGCGGGGAUGACGUCAAGUCAGUAUGCCCCUUACACCCUGGGCUACACACGUGCUACAAUGGGCGAGACAAUGAGCUGCAAGUCUGUGAAGGUUAGCUAAUCUAUAAACUCGUUCUAAGUUCGGAUUGUAGGCUGCAACUCG